GUAAAGACAAGGAUGAAGCUGAGGUUUGGAUUACUGGGCUGAAAGCAAUAAUUACGAGGGGACGCUCUCGCAGAGGAAAAUAUGAUGCAAGAAGUGAAACCAUGUUUUCGGAUAGUCCACUUGGUCAACGAGUCACCACAUCAACUUCAUCUAUUGAUCAAGGAGACAAUCAGAGAACUGAGAGUUUACCUCAGAGCAGGCUUGGAAAAGCCUAUGCUGAC
RNAcentral lists this unclassified non-coding RNA (221 nucleotides) under Hevea brasiliensis (rubber tree). Lineage: Eukaryota; Viridiplantae; Streptophyta; Magnoliopsida; Malpighiales; Euphorbiaceae. The record is from RNAcentral.